RNAcentral lists this ribosomal RNA (465 nucleotides) under Vreelandella stevensii. RNAcentral describes it as "partial 16S ribosomal RNA". It matches the Rfam family "Bacterial small subunit ribosomal RNA", at positions 338 to 795 of the family's 1533-position model. Lineage: Bacteria; Pseudomonadati; Pseudomonadota; Gammaproteobacteria; Oceanospirillales; Halomonadaceae. The record is from RNAcentral.
CCUACGGGUGGCAGCAGUGGGGAAUAUUGGACAAUGGGCGAAAGCCUGAUCCAGCCAUGCCGCGUGUGUGAAGAAGGCCUUCGGGUUGUAAAGCACUUUCAGUGGGGAAGAAAGCCUUGGGGCUAAUACCCUCGAGGAAGGACAUCACCCACAGAAGAAGCACCGGCUAACUCCGUGCCAGCAGCCGCGGUAAUACGGAGGGUGCGAGCGUUAAUCGGAAUUACUGGGCGUAAAGCGCGCGUAGGCGGUCUGAUAAGCCGGUUGUGAAAGCCCCGGGCUCAACCUGGGAUCGGCAUCCGGAACUGUCAGGCUAGAGUGCAGGAGAGGAAGGUAGAAUUCCCGGUGUAGCGGUGAAAUGCGUAGAGAUCGGGAGGAAUACCAGUGGCGAAGGCGGCCUUCUGGACUGACACUGACGCUGAGGUGCGAAAGCGUGGGUAGCAAACAGGAUUAGAUACCCCUGUAGUC